GGGUUGUGAGGUUAAGCGACUAAGCGUACACGGUGGAUGCCCUGGCAGUCAGAGGCGAUGAAGGACGUGCUAAUCUGCGAAAAGCGUCGGUAAGGUGAUAUGAACCGUUAUAACCGGCGAUGUCCGAAUGGGGAAACCCAGUGCAAUUCGUUGCACUAUCGUUAACUGAAUACAUAGGUUAACGAGGCGAACCGGGGGAACUGAAACAUCUAAGUACCCCGAGGAAAAGAAAUCAACCGAGAUUCCCCCAGUAGCGGCGAGCGAACGGGGAGCAGCCCAGAGUCUGAAUCAGCUUGUGUGUUAGUGGAACGGUCUGGAAAGUCCGACGGUACAGGGUGAUAGUCCCGUACACCAAAAUGCACAGGCUGUGAACUCGAAGAGUAGGGCGGGACACGUGGUAUCCUGUCUGAAUAUGGGGGGACCAUCCUCCAAGGCUAAAUACUCCUGACUGACCGAUAGUGAACCAGUACCGUGAGGGAAAGGCGAAAAGAACCCCGGCGAGGGGAGUGAAAAAGAACCUGAAACCGUGUACGUACAAGCAGUGGGAGCACCUUCGGGUGUGACUGCGUACCUUUUGUAUAAUGGGUCAGCGACUUAUAUUCUGUAGCAAGGUUAACCGUAUAGGGGAGCCGCAGGGAAACCGAGUCUUAACUGGGCGUUAAGUUGCAGGGUAUAGACCCGAAACCCGGUGAUCUAGCCAUGGGCAGGUUGAAGGUUGGGUAACACUAACUGGAGGACCGAACCGACUAAUGUUGAAAAAUUAGCGGAUGACUUGUGGCUGGGGGUGAAAGGCCAAUCAAACCGGGAGAUAGCUGGUUCUCCCCGAAAGCUAUUUAGGUAGCGCCUCGUGAAUUCAUCUUCGGGGGUAGAGCACUGUUUCGGCUAGGGGGUCAUCCCGACUUACCAACCCGAUGCAAACUACGAAUACCGAAGAAUGUUAUCACGGGAGACACACGGCGGGUGCUAACGUCCGUCGUGAAGAGGGAAACAACCCAGACCGCCAGCUAAGGUCCCAAAGUCAUGGUUAAGUGGGAAACGAUGUGGGAAGGCACAGACAGCCAGGAUGUUGGCUUAGAAGCAGCCAUCAUUUAAAGAAAGCGUAAUAGCUCACUGGUCGAGUCGGCCUGCGCGGAAGAUGUAACGGGGCUAAACCAUGCACCGAAGCUGCGGCAGCGACACUAUGUGUUGUUGGGUAGGGGAGCGUUCUGUAAGCCUGCGAAGGUGUGCUGUGAGGCAUGCUGGAGGUAUCAGAAGUGCGAAUGCUGACAUAAGUAACGAUAAAGCGGGUGAAAAGCCCGCUCGCCGGAAGACCAAGGGUUCCUGUCCAACGUUAAUCGGGGCAGGGUGAGUCGACCCCUAAGGCGAGGCCGAAAGGCGUAGUCGAUGGGAAACAGGUUAAUAUUCCUGUACUUGGUGUUACUGCGAAGGGGGGACGGAGAAGGCUAUGUUAGCCGGGCGACGGUUGUCCCGGUUUAAGCAUGUAGGCUGGUUAUCCAGGCAAAUCCGGAUAAUCAAGGCUGAGGUGUGAUGACGAGGCACUACGGUGCUGAAGUAACAAAUGCCCUGCUUCCAGGAAAAGCCUCUAAGCAUCAGGUAACAUCAAAUCGUACCCCAAACCGACACAGGUGGUCAGGUAGAGAAUACCAAGGCGCUUGAGAGAACUCGGGUGAAGGAACUAGGCAAAAUGGUGCCGUAACUUCGGGAGAAGGCACGCUGGUGUGUAGGUGAAGUCCCUGCGGAUGGAGCUGAGACCAGUCGAAGAUACCAGCUGGCUGCAACUGUUUAUUAAAAACACAGCACUGUGCAAACACGAAAGUGGACGUAUACGGUGUGACGCCUGCCCGGUGCCGGAAGGUUAAUUGAUGGGGUUAUCCGUAAGGAGAAGCUCUUGAUCGAAGCCCCGGUAAACGGCGGCCGUAACUAUAACGGUCCUAAGGUAGCGAAAUUCCUUGUCGGGUAAGUUCCGACCUGCACGAAUGGCGUAAUGAUGGCCAGGCUGUCUCCACCCGAGACUCAGUGAAAUUGAACUCGCUGUGAAGAUGCAGUGUACCCGCGGCAAGACGGAAAGACCCCGUGAACCUUUACUAUAGCUUGACACUGAACAUUGAGCCUUGAUGUGUAGGAUAGGUGGGAGGCUUUGAAGCGUGGACGCCAGUCUGCGUGGAGCCAACCUUGAAAUACCACCCUUUAAUGUUUGAUGUUCUAACGUUGGCCCCUGACCGGGGUUGCGGACAGUGUCUGGUGGGUAGUUUGACUGGGGCGGUCUCCUCCCAAAGCGUAACGGAGGAGCACGAAGGUUAGCUAAUCCUGGUCGGACAUCAGGAGGUUAGUGCAAUGGCAUAAGCUAGCUUGACUGCGAGCGUGACGGCGCGAGCAGGUGCGAAAGCAGGUCAUAGUGAUCCGGUGGUUCUGAAUGGAAGGGCCAUCGCUCAACGGAUAAAAGGUACUCCGGGGAUAACAGGCUGAUACCGCCCAAGAGUUCAUAUCGACGGCGGUGUUUGGCACCUCGAUGUCGGCUCAUCACAUCCUGGGGCUGAAGUAGGUCCCAAGGGUAUGGCUGUUCGCCAUUUAAAGUGGUACGCGAGCUGGGUUUAGAACGUCGUGAGACAGUUCGGUCCCUAUCUGCCGUGGGCGCUGGAGAAUUGAGGGGGGCUGCUCCUAGUACGAGAGGACCGGAGUGGACGCAUCACUGGUGUUCGGGUUGUCAUGCCAAUGGCACUGCCCGGUAGCUAAAUGCGGAAGAGAUAAGUGCUGAAAGCAUCUAAGCACGAAACUUGCCCCGAGAUGAGUUCUCCCUGAGACUUUAAGUCUCCUGAAGGAACGUUGAAGACGACGACGUUGAUAGGCCGGGUGUGUAAGCGCAGCGAUGCGUUGAGCUAACCGGUACUAAUGAACCGUGAGGCUUAACCUUACAACGCCGAAG
Molecule: ribosomal RNA, 2923 nt
Filed under: Klebsiella pneumoniae
Lineage: Bacteria; Pseudomonadati; Pseudomonadota; Gammaproteobacteria; Enterobacterales; Enterobacteriaceae
Description: bacterial LSU rRNA
Rfam family: Bacterial large subunit ribosomal RNA
Source: RNAcentral